UACAGAGGUCUCAAGCGUUGUUCGGAUUCAUUGGGCGUAAAGGGUGCGUAGGUGGCGCUGUAAGUCGGGUGUGAAAUUUCGGAGCUUAACUCCGAAACUGCAUUCGAUACUGCGGUGCUUGAGGACUGGAGAGGAGACUGGAAUUCAUGGUGUAGCAGUGAAAUGCGUAGAGAUCAUGAGGAAGACCAGUGGCGAAGGCGGGUCUCUGAACAGUUCCUGACACUGAGGCACGAAGGCCAGGGGAGCAAACGGG
Molecule: ribosomal RNA, 253 nt
Filed under: uncultured bacterium
Lineage: Bacteria
Description: partial 16S ribosomal RNA
Rfam family: Bacterial small subunit ribosomal RNA
Source: RNAcentral